RNAcentral lists this ribosomal RNA (721 nucleotides) under uncultured bacterium. RNAcentral's name for it is "partial 16S ribosomal RNA". The record is from RNAcentral.
ACGAGUGACGCAUAUAUCGCCUGCCACCGAGUAAUGCGGGACUAUUAAUCGAAAUAGCUAAUACCGCGCAUAUUCUCUGAUGAAUGACAGCUGUUACCUUCGGGCCUUGGCUUCUUCACCCGAUCGACCUCCGAUUAAUUAGCUGGUGGGGGGGGGGCCUACUCACCCGACCAACAAUACCUAGCCUAACUGAAAGAUCCACCGCACUGGCUGUGACAGACACCCCACACUCAUUCCUACGGCAGGCAUGGGUAAGUUUGCAUCAUGGAUGCACGCCUGACUCACCCAUGCCCCGCGCCUGAGUAAAGACUGCUUUCUGAUCAGGACUUUCGGCUGGAAAAAAAAAGCUAGUGUGAAAACCCCUGUCUGAUGACGUGACCUGAUCAUACCACACCGGGACACUUCACUACAUCCCCCCCGCCGCUACAUUACGUGCGUCCCGUAGCGCUGACCUGCUGUAUUGAACGCAAAGCGCAGAGCGGUUAGUUAAGAUAGAUCUGAAAUCACCGGCUGUCGACCUAACCAAUGCGUUCUUUAGCAAACUGUUUAACUUGAGUGCAAGAGGAGAUAGAGUAACUCCUUGAGCUAGCGAAAUGAAUGCAUAAUAUUUAUGAAUAACCCACCGGCUGACGCAAGCCUCCUCGGCGAGAAUACUGACUGUUCCCUGCCACCCACACGCAUGCGUGGGGAAACAAGACAUGAAUAACCCACGCCUAGUCCC